RNAcentral lists this non-coding RNA (125 nucleotides) under Chloropicon mariensis. The record is from RNAcentral. Lineage: Eukaryota; Viridiplantae; Chlorophyta; Chloropicophyceae; Chloropicales; Chloropicaceae.
GAAAGAAGAAGAAGAAGUAGAAGAAGUCAGUACUUUGUUCACAGAAUUGUAGGGAUGGGGUUUCUCAUCUCUCUCUCUCUCUCUCUCUCUUUUUCUUCUAUUCCUCUUUUGCUCUGCUCGUUUGU